GGGAGUAAAAUAGUCUAGCUCUACGGCUCUUAGCUGGUUGUGACAAUGCAUUUUAUGAACUCUAUUUGAAUAUGCCACUUGGCAUAUAUAAUGACACUCAGUCACCCACACGAAGCUUUCCUAUCCUCGUUUUUCUUUCUUUUCUUUUCUUACUGGGGUUCGAAUAUAAAGGUGCAUUCAUCAUACAAUGUCCCCCCAAAUCGGUCGGGCACCUACUUAAUCAAAUACUCGCAUAUUCUAACAGAGUUAAUAAAUUGCAUAGGUCCGGUUUGGGUGCUGGUUUGCAUCAGAAAUAAGAGACCGGCCAGCUCUCUGCCAGAAUUUGUUG
Molecule: long non-coding RNA, 328 nt
Filed under: Brachypodium distachyon (stiff brome)
Lineage: Eukaryota; Viridiplantae; Streptophyta; Magnoliopsida; Poales; Poaceae
Description: long non-coding RNA (BDIS_LNC001569)
Source: RNAcentral